AUACGGAGGAUCCGAGCGUUAUCCGGAUUUAUUGGGUUUAAAGGGAGCGUAGGUGGAUUGUUAAGUCAGUUGUGAAAGUUUGCGGCUCAACCGUAAAAUUGCAGUUGAAACUGGCAGUCUUGAGUACAGUAGAGGUGGGCGGAAUUCGUGGUGUAGCGGGGAAAUGCUUAGAUAUGACGAAGAACACCGAUUGCGUAGGCAGCUGACCAGACCGCAAAUGACGCUCAUGCACGAAAGUGCGGGGAUCGAACAGGAUUAGAUACCCUGGUAGUCCGCACAGUAAACGAUGAAUACUUGUUUUCGGCGAUAUAAUGUCGGAGGCAAAGCGAAAGCGAUAAGUAUUCCACCUGGGGAGUACGCCGGCAACGGUGAAACUCAAAGGAAUUGACGGGG
Molecule: ribosomal RNA, 393 nt
Filed under: uncultured bacterium
Lineage: Bacteria
Description: partial 16S ribosomal RNA
Rfam family: Bacterial small subunit ribosomal RNA
Source: RNAcentral